This 285-nucleotide unclassified non-coding RNA is filed under the name Hevea brasiliensis (rubber tree). The record is from RNAcentral. Lineage: Eukaryota; Viridiplantae; Streptophyta; Magnoliopsida; Malpighiales; Euphorbiaceae.
GAACUCCAUUGGAGUCUUCUCUCCCAUGCCUACUUUUUCAAUUGAAUCGCUCAACAUCAUAAAUCACGAUAUGAUGACUGUUAGUUAUCAUGAUCCUGCAAUUUCUUCUUUGGAUGCCAUAAUUCGGGCGUAUAUUGAGCAGAGCUCAGUUGCAGUUGUUGAUGAAGACAACCGAUUGAUUGGUGAAAUCUCUCCCUUCACUCUAGCCUACUGUGAUGAGACCGUUGCAGCAGCAAUCGCGACACUUUCAGCUGGUGAUCUCAUGACUUACAUCGACUACGGUGG